RNAcentral lists this long non-coding RNA (1832 nucleotides) under Homo sapiens (human). Its description in RNAcentral is "HSALNT0172485". The record is from RNAcentral. Lineage: Eukaryota; Metazoa; Chordata; Mammalia; Primates; Hominidae.
AACAGAGAGAAUCAACAUUAAGCCCCAUUGGACUGGAUUCUGAAGAUGCUUGAGGACUUCCUGCCUUAGUCAGAUUUGGUUUGGAACUGGGGCAGGGCCAGGCCUGCAGGUGGAAGCAACAUCAGCCCCAGCUGUGGGUCCUUCUGACCUCUUUUUCUCUCUACCAGAGAACUGGCUAUUUUUACCUGUCAACUGAGAAGGAUGGAUAGAGAAAAGCAUCAUUACAAAAGUGAAAUGUGUGAAUUUUAUUCUGGCUUUGAACAUUGAGUAGACGAAGAAGACAAUUCCAGACGGAGGAAACUCCACAAGAAAUAUCAUGGAAAUUUGAAAGAACACAGUGGGCUUGGGAAGAGGUGCUUCCAAGACCAAGAUAACCAGGCAAUCAUAGUAGAUGCAUCAAUGCACCCUUGCCCAAGGGCCUAGACAAGAGGAGGAAGGAAAGGAGGAGCACGUGCACAAAGCUAAGGAGGUGAUUAACAACAUGAUACAGUAUUGUUUAGCUUCGCAUGAAUUUUAUCACCUUGCCUAGAACCAGCCACCAUCUGCCAGGGCUCCUGACUUUUUCUGAAAUGAAUAGACACUAAAGCCUGCUGGGGAAUUUCAUGGAAAUCAAGAUGACUCAACCCAGAGUCCAUUUCAAGGCUAGGAUGCUAGAGGACGCCAACAAAGGAGUAGGGAAGUGAAACGGAUCAGCUCACAUCCAAGCCCUUGCAUGAUCAAUCCUGCAGUAGGAGUGCUGCUCAGUUGGGACUCAUGAGAGCCCGGAAGAGGAAAAAGCAGCUCUAAGCAUAGCAAAGAAGCUGUUAUGGAAAAGACCCAAAUGUUAAAAUGGUGGACAUAGUAAAGUGAUUGGUUCUGCUUAGGGGAAUCUAGAUCCCCACAUUUUGACCUCCACUGGAGUCUCAGAAGAACAAGUGCCAGGGGGGCUUGCCACAGAGGCCAAGGCAGUGAAUGUCAGGCACAUCACAGUCCCCAAGAUGGGGAGAAGACUGAGAUGCAGGGUAACAACUGCAAUCCAUUCAUGGGAGCCAUGUUUAUCUUAAAUCAUUGACAGUGAGAUAAGGAUCAUGUCAGCCUUCAUACCUUUGAUGAUGAUCCCAGGCUGCAACAGUGACACAUAGAACUGGAUUCAGUAACUAACUACAGAUUCCAUCAACCAGGACUAGUAAAGUGAAAGGCAGAAAUUGGGAGGAGGGGUUUCUUUCUUGCUUAUAAAACUUUAUUUGGUUGUGUUGAGUAUGUGCAUGUAUGUAUGAAAUCCCAUAAAGCAGUCUUCUUAGGAACAAGCCAACAUGCCACAAUGUAGGAGAUCUUUGGAGCACUGGCCUAAAUGGCAGAGAGCUCAAGGGACUCUGCUUUGUACAAGGCAUGAUUUGUACCACCACCACUAUCCCUGUUUCAGAGCACUGUUGAAUUGUUCCAAACCUGGAUUUCUAUGUCAGCUCCCUGUCUAUAGUACUUGACUGAUAAAUGCUAGUUUCUGAAAUCUGCUUUGGUUCUAUAAUUUAUUAGACAGCUUUUUCUUCCCAUUUUAUUACUUGUUUUUACUGUCAUUGGUAUAUUAUCUCUUACAGUGAAAACAUUCAUAGGCUGAUUGAAGAGAAGAUCUGAAAUUAUUAGGCAGCAAGCAUACAAAACCCUUGCUUUAUAAAGAUAAUAUCUUAAAGGCCUAAUGUCUAUGGUUCAAAGCAGCCUGGAGAUGUUGGCUAAAUCUUCCAUCAUAGAGUCCUCAUGGGAUCUGGAAGCUCUGAUUUAUCUUCCUUCAGGCCCUAUAAGUUAGCUUUCCACAUCUGUAGGUUCCACAAUCAACCUUGGAUCAAAAACAUUUGAAA